AUACAGAGGGUGCAAGCGUUAAUCGGAAUUACUGGGCGUAAAGCGCGCGUAGGCGGUUUGGUCAGUCGGAUGUGAAAGCCCCAGGCUCAACCUGGGAAUGGCAUUCGAUACUGCCUGACUAGAGUAUGGUAGAGGGAAGUGGAAUUUCCGGUGUAGCGGUGAAAUGCGUAGAUAUCGGAAGGAACACCAGUGGCGAAGGCGACUUCCUGGGCCAAUACUGACGCUGAGGUGCGAAAGCGUGGGGAGCAAACAGGAUUAGAUACCCCAGUAGUCC
Molecule: ribosomal RNA, 274 nt
Filed under: uncultured bacterium
Lineage: Bacteria
Description: partial 16S ribosomal RNA
Rfam family: Bacterial small subunit ribosomal RNA
Source: RNAcentral